GGGGAACUUUGAAAUAGCUGAACAAUUUGUUCUUCUCUAACUAAUCUUCUCGCAACCUAUGCAACAAAUUAAUGAAAGUAUACAAUGCUUUCAAAGUUUCUAUGAUAUUUUAAUGAAUAAUCAAGAAUCAAUUCUACGCAAUAGCAAAGUGGAAUGUUUUCCAGAUUUAUGCUGAGUGAUCACACAAGAUCUAGAACUUUUC
Molecule: long non-coding RNA, 202 nt
Filed under: Panax ginseng (ginseng)
Lineage: Eukaryota; Viridiplantae; Streptophyta; Magnoliopsida; Apiales; Araliaceae
Description: long non-coding RNA (PGIN_LNC004035)
Source: RNAcentral